Molecule: long non-coding RNA, 137 nt
Organism: Hemicordylus capensis (graceful crag lizard)
Lineage: Eukaryota; Metazoa; Chordata; Lepidosauria; Squamata; Cordylidae
Exons: 2
Source: RefSeq, a predicted model, not a curated record
CAAGUUCUCAGAUGCACCAUGCAAUGCAGAUCAUCUGUGAGUGCAGUUCGCACGCCCAGCACCAUUCAAGUUCCCGUCUGGGGUUAAGAAAACUGCAUAAAGAAAAGGUCAAUAAGGCAUUAAAUUCUGAAAAUGGA